GACGAACGCUGGCGGCGUGCUUAACACAUGCAAGUCGAACGCUGAAGCCCUGGCUUUUGUUGGGUUGGAUGAGUGGCGAACGGGUGAGUAACACGUGAGUAACCUGCCCUCUUCUUUGGGAUAACGCCCGGAAACGGGUGCUAAUACUGGAUAUUCACUGGCCUUCGCAUGGGGGUUGGUGGAAAGGUUUGUUCUGGUGGGGGAUGGGCUCGCGGCCUAUCAGCUUGUUGGUGGGGUGAUGGCCUACCAAGGCUUUGACGGGUAGCCGGCCUGAGAGGGUGACCGGUCACAUUGGGACUGAGAUACGGCCCAGACUCCUACGGGAGGCAGCAGUGGGGAAUAUUGCACAAUGGGCGAAAGCCUGAUGCAGCGACGCCGCGUGAGGGAUGGAGGCCUUCGGGUUGUAAACCUCUUUCGCUCAUGGUCAAGCCGAAACUGUGGGUUGUGGUGAGGGUAGUGGGGAAAGAAGCGCCGGCGAACUACGU
RNAcentral lists this ribosomal RNA (485 nucleotides) under uncultured bacterium. Its description in RNAcentral is "partial 16S ribosomal RNA". It matches the Rfam family "Bacterial small subunit ribosomal RNA", at positions 28 to 506 of the family's 1533-position model. The record is from RNAcentral.